GGAGUGGGCCGAGCGUCCGCUGCGGGCGACGAUCCGGCCCUGGUCGGUUCGAUCGUCCGGGGAGGAAAGUCCGGGCUCCGCAGGACACGGUGGUGGGUAACGCCCACCGUCCGCAAGGACCGGGACAGUGCCACAGAAAACAAACCGCCGAUGACCCGCUUCGGGAACAGGCAAGGGUGAAAAGGUGCGGUAAGAGCGCACCGCGUCGCCGGCGACGGCGAUGGCAUGGCAAACCCCACCGGGAGCAAGACCAAGCAGAGUCAAGAGGGCCUCGGCCCUCGCGAGGCGGUCCGUCUCGCCACAGGCUCGGGUAGGUUGCUCGAGGCGCCGGGCAACCGGCGUCCCAGAGAAAUGGGCGCUCUCGACAGAACCCGGCUUACAGGCCCGCUCCGGUU
RNAcentral lists this RNase P RNA (395 nucleotides) under Planctomyces sp. Its description in RNAcentral is "RNase P RNA component class A". It matches the Rfam family "Bacterial RNase P class A". Rfam says of the family: Ribonuclease P (RNase P) is a ubiquitous endoribonuclease, found in archaea, bacteria and eukarya as well as chloroplasts and mitochondria. Its best characterised activity is the generation of mature 5'-ends of tRNAs by cleaving the 5'-leader elements of precursor-tRNAs. Cellular RNase Ps are ribonucleoproteins. The record is from RNAcentral. Lineage: Bacteria; Pseudomonadati; Planctomycetota; Planctomycetia; Planctomycetales; Planctomycetaceae.